GUAGGCUGCUCGUACUGCCGCCCGCUUACAGAGGGGAAAACCGGGGCGCUCAGCAGAUGGUUACGUUUUCACCAGAGCCACCUGCCCACAGAGACCUGGGAUAAUAGAGGCCAAAGGUGGCCCAUCAGCUCAGAAACCUGUAAUUCCGCACAUGCCCAACCAUCCACAGGGACCGGAAGGAGCCGAGCAGACGCCAGCGGAAACCCACAGAUGUUUGCAAUUGACAACAGACCCAUCAGCAGAUGUCCUUAAAGAAUUUGCCGGCACCUGCUGCCUGUUUACCAAUGCUCCCUCCGUGAAGUUCACCUUCAGCUCACGGUGACCACCGCCACCGCCGCCGCCACUGGGGCCCCAAGUCGGGGAUGCCUAGCUCGGGUGGCCCCUAGCUCGGGUGGCCCCUUGCUCUUGGGUGGCCCCAAGGACAGUCACUUGACCUCUCUGAGCCAGAGAUGCUGCAUGUGUGAAGGAGAAGUGGUAACGCUCACCUCCUAGGAUGGCGGUGACGAUUCGAAAUGAAAACGUCUAGGGCCCUUGGCGUGGGGUCAGCUCCAGGUAGGUGCCCGGUCAGUGGCAGCUGUCGUGAUUCCUCACCUCUCGGCCUCCGUUUCCCCAGCUGGGUUUGGACAGGGCUUAUCUAGAUCAGUGGUUCUCAGUUGGGGGUGAUUUUACCCCCCAGCUGUGGGGCAAGGGAAGCUGCUGGCAUCAGGUGGCGUCGGAGAUGCUGCCAACGUCCGACAGGGUGCAGGACAGCCACGCACAGCGGGGGAUUGUCCAGCCCCAAAUGUCCACAUGAUCUGUAUUAAGAAACCCUGGACUAAGUUCAUCUCUGCGUUUCCCUCGCAGUAGAGGAAGUUUGGGUUGGGUCUGUGUUGCCUUGUGCUGGGAGGGGUCUGGAGCAUCCAGGCUUUCAACCCGGAUGUGGCCCCGUAGACUGGACCUCGGGCCUGGGACACUUCCUCCCAGGAGGCAAAGAGGCCCCUCAGCCUCAAAGCCUCAUGUGGGGACCUUGUUCCUGUUUCAGGCCCAACGUGUGCACGUUUGUCUGACUUAAGUGUGUGCAUGUGUCACGGGGCGCCUGGCUAGCCUCACUGCUGUAUUGUCCCCUGUGGGGAGGGGACAGGGUCCUGUGUUCAGUGACACAGGAGGGGUGCAUGGAUCAACUGCUGGGAGGGACCCGCUGGCUGUGGGGGACCGGAUAGAGCUAUUAGCAUGUGGUGUAUUGUCUGUUUCCCGCCCCCGCCUCAUACGUCAGUCAACUACCAAUGACUGUAUGAUGGUUGCACAGCUCUGAAUGUACUAAAAAUCAUUGAAAUGUACACUUUAAAUGAGUUGAUUGUAGGGUGUGUGAAUUAUAUCUCAAUGCAUCUGUUAGAAAAAAAAAAAAAGUGGAUUCCAAGGUGCUUAGCUGAGCCAGGUUGUAUUCAGGGUAUUUCCUUAAAAGCCACACGUUUGGCCUCCAGGGGGCCGUGUUCGGCUGGUGAGACAUCGACAUUUUUCCUUCUGUGCUGCUUGCAGUUACCUAGAUUCCUUCAUCUGCCUGUCUCCCAUCCAGCGCCAAGAUAUCACGUGAUCACUGUAGUUGCCAGGGUGCCUCGGCUGUGUCCCCAUCCGCCUCCAGGCCAUCCAUUCCUCAGAAUCAGUCUCUCACUCCAGCUGCGGUUACUCUUGCGAAGAGCCUCCGGGGGGAGUGUCCAUUGUGGCUCAGUGGAUUAAGAACCUAACUGGUAUCCAUCAGGGUGCGGGUUUGAUCCCUGUCCUCGCUCAGUGGGUUAAGAAUCCAGCAUUGCCUGAGGCAAGCUGUGUAAGUCACAGACAUGGCUCGGAUCCCAUGUUGCUGUGGCUGUGGUGUAGACCACCAGCUGUAGUUCUGAUUCAACUCCUAGCCUGGGAACCUCCAUAUGCCGUGGGUGCGGCCCUAAAAAGCAAAAAAACAAAAAAAAGGCCUCCUGGGGGUGGGGGAUCAGGGCAAGCAAGAGGCUGUACCAUGAAUAGAAGGGUUUUAAUGCGGGGACCAGCCUCACAGCUGCUGGGAUUGUCAGAGGCCUGGGAACCUGGGGCAGGAGGGUGGCUGCAACCUGGUGCCCUUGACCUGGAGGUCACACGGUAGGUCUGCUCACCUGCUCCUGACCAACUGUGCAGAAGCCAAGAGUCUCGAGACCAGAGUUCCCGUUGUGGCCCAGCGGAAAUGACUAGGAACCACGAAGUUGCGGGUUCAAUCCCUGCCCUUGCUCAGUGGGUUAAGGAUCUGGUGUUACCAUGAGCUGUGGUGUAGGUUGCAGAUGUGGCUUGGAUCUGGCGUUGCUGUGGCUGUGGUGUAGGCCAGUAACUGUAGCUCUGAUUUGACCCCUAGCUUGGGAAUCUCCAUAUGCUGCCUCAAGUGUGGCCCUAAAAAAAAAAAAAAAAAAA
RNAcentral lists this long non-coding RNA (2406 nucleotides) under Sus scrofa (pig). RNAcentral describes it as "lncRNA (ENSSSCG00040013688.1)". Lineage: Eukaryota; Metazoa; Chordata; Mammalia; Artiodactyla; Suidae. The record is from RNAcentral.